GAUGAACGCUGGCGGCGUGCCUAAUACAUGCAAGUCGAGCGAACAGAUGAGGAGCUUGCUCCUCUGACGUUAGCGGCGGACGGGUGAGUAACACGUGGAUAACCUACCUAUAAGACUGGGAUAACUUCGGGAAACCGGAGCUAAUACCGGAUAAUAUAUUGAACCGCAUGGUUCAAUAGUGAAAGACGGUUUUGCUGUCACUUAUAGAUGGAUCCGCGCCGCAUUAGCUAGUUGGUAAGGUAACGGCUUACCAAGGCAACGAUGCGUAGCCGACCUGAGAGGGUGAUCGGCCAAACUGGAACUGAGACACGGUCCAGACUCCUACGGGAGGCAGCAGUAGGGAAUCUUCCGCAAUGGGCGAAAGCCUGACGGAGCAACGCCGCGUGAGUGAUGAAGGUCUUCGGAUCGUAAAACUCUGUUAUUAGGGAAGAACAAAUGUGUAAGUAACUAUGCACGUCUUGACGGUACCUAAUCAGAAAGCCACGGCUAACUACGU
Molecule: ribosomal RNA, 496 nt
Filed under: uncultured bacterium
Lineage: Bacteria
Description: partial 16S ribosomal RNA
Rfam family: Bacterial small subunit ribosomal RNA
Source: RNAcentral